GCGAUAUUCGGCUAAACUGAAAGUAGGAGCUGAAUGCCUUGUUUCACAAAAAAGAACACUGCUCAGAUAUUUUCUCUGGACUGCCAAUUUCUGCAUUUCAUGUGAUACCUGUGUUGGAGCCCUCCCAAGAACCUCCCCUGUAAGAUUUCAAAGUUAAGGAGAUCAUUCAAAUGAUAGUGGUUUUGGUCCAUGUUGGUUUGUCUCAACAGUUAAUCUUUUGGAAAGCAGUGUUGGAGAAAAUAUCAGCAACAUGUGAAGACUGUGAUUUAGUUUCAUACGA
Molecule: long non-coding RNA, 280 nt
Organism: Saccostrea echinata
Lineage: Eukaryota; Metazoa; Mollusca; Bivalvia; Ostreida; Ostreidae
Exons: 3
Source: RefSeq, a predicted model, not a curated record